AUCUAUAUAAUAUAAAAAGUAUAUAUGACUUCCAAUCAUAAAGUCUAUAAUUAUAGUGUAGAUA
Molecule: transfer RNA, 64 nt
Filed under: Periscepsia handlirschi
Lineage: Eukaryota; Metazoa; Arthropoda; Insecta; Diptera; Tachinidae
Description: tRNA-Gly
Source: RNAcentral